GAUGAACGCUAGCUACAGGCUUAACACAUGCAAGUCGAGGGGCAGCAUGCUGAUAGCUUGCUAUCAGUGAUGGCGACCGGCGCACGGGUGAGUAACGCGUAUCCAACCUGCCUGUCACUCAGGAAUAGCCCGGUGAAAACCGGAUUAAGUCCUGAUGAUAUCAUUAGAGGGCAUCUGACGAUGAUUAAAGGUUACGGUGACGGAUGGGGAUGCGUCUGAUUAGCUUGUUGGCGGGGUAACGGCCCACCAAGGCGACGAUACAUAGGGGGACUGAGAGGUUAACCCCCCCACACUGGUACUGAGACACGGACCAGACUCCUACGGGAGGCAGCAGUGAGGAAUAUUGGUCAAUGGACGCAAGUCUGAACCAGCCAUGCCGCGUGCAGGAAGACGGCUCUAUGAGUUGUAAACUGCUUUUGUACAAGGGUAAACCCUGGGACGUGUCCCAGGCUGAAAGUACUGUACGAAUAAGGAUCGGCUAACUCCG
This 487-nucleotide ribosomal RNA is filed under the name uncultured bacterium. RNAcentral's name for it is "bacterial SSU rRNA". It matches the Rfam family "Bacterial small subunit ribosomal RNA", at positions 28 to 505 of the family's 1533-position model. The record is from RNAcentral.